UUGCUUUUGGCAGUAUAUAUGCUAAAAUUAGAAUGACACAGGGAGGGGUAGUAUGGUCCCUGCGUAGGACAACACAUAAACUCAUAAGGCGUUCCCUAUUUAU
Small nuclear RNA from Heterocephalus glaber (naked mole-rat), 103 nucleotides. The record is from Ensembl. NCBI's taxonomy places the organism in Eukaryota, Metazoa, Chordata, Mammalia, Rodentia, Bathyergidae.